CCCUAGCCCAGAUAGCAGUGAAAAUCCUUAUACGCCAGUCCCGAAACCUCGGGAUGGCGUAUAAGAUUGCAACGUAUAGCUGGAUCAAGC
Small RNA from Flavobacterium sp. FPG59, 90 nucleotides. It matches the Rfam family "Flavo-1 RNA". Lineage: Bacteria; Pseudomonadati; Bacteroidota; Flavobacteriia; Flavobacteriales; Flavobacteriaceae. The record is from Rfam.